RNAcentral lists this ribosomal RNA (494 nucleotides) under uncultured bacterium. RNAcentral's name for it is "partial 16S ribosomal RNA". It matches the Rfam family "Bacterial small subunit ribosomal RNA", at positions 28 to 507 of the family's 1533-position model. The record is from RNAcentral.
GACGAACGCUGGCGGCGCGCUUAACACAUGCAAGUCGAACGGAAAGGCCUGCUUUCCCUUGUGGAUUGCGGGUACUCGAGUGGCGAACGGGUGAGUAACACGUGAGUGAUCUGCCCCCAACUUGGGUAUAAGCCUGGGAAACUGGGCCUAAUUCCCGAUAGGACUGCAGGGUGGUGCCUGUGGUGGAAAACGAUUUUCUAGUGGUUGGGGAUGAGCUCGCGGCCUAUCAGCUUGUUGGUGGGGUAAUGGCCUACCAAGGCGGCGACGGGUAGCCGGCCUGAGAGGGUGGACGGCCACAUUGGGACUGGGAUACGGCCCAGACUCCUACGGGAGGCAGCAGUGGGGAAUAUUGCACAAUGGGCGGAAGCCUGAUGCAGCGACGCCGCGUGGGGGAUGACGGCCUUCGGGUUGUAAACUCCUUUCGACCGCGAGGAAGCCACCUGGUUGGAAGGGUGGUGACGGUAGUGGUAGAAGAAGCACCGGCUAACUACGUG